GUGGAGUGAAAAAUGAAUAGUAAAGAUUAAUUUUAGGUUAAAUCAUUUUAUUAGUCUUUUUAUUUUUAUAGCAAAAUUGUAAAUUGGUUUCUUUAUUAAAUUUUUUUGGCUCAAUUUAGUUUUUUAUUUGAAAAUUUUAAUACAAUAUAAUCUUUUUCAUUAAAUUGACUAAACAACUUUAAAUAAAUAUUAAGUAGAUGUGUUUUUGUGGAGUUUUAAAAUGAUGUGACUUAAUUAUGAUCCUUUAAUUAAAUUAUUAAUAUUGUAUUUUAUUGUCACCCCCCACUACUCUCUUAAAGAGCUUCACCGGACCAGUACACUUUACCACACCCUUACACAAUGACAUUUCCCACCACUCUCUGGAAGGCUUCACCGGCAAGUACACCACUUCCCACCACUCUCUUAGAGCUUCCCCGAGCAAGUAUAUGUUUUCCACCAUCCUCUUUGGCUUCACAGGACAAGUAUACACUCCCCA
Molecule: long non-coding RNA, 475 nt
Filed under: Vigna radiata
Lineage: Eukaryota; Viridiplantae; Streptophyta; Magnoliopsida; Fabales; Fabaceae
Description: long non-coding RNA (VRAD_LNC007596)
Source: RNAcentral